UCAACUUCAACUUUUCAUUAGCCAAAUAAGGAUACACAUGAUUUUACACCACAGUGUUUCAACCACACUUAUAACAAAGAUAUUAGUAUCAUCUAGAAUCACUACAUGGAUCCUACACUACCAAUCUGAAACCUUUGCUGCAAUUUAAACUCCAAUGAACACGAUACUACUCCCACGACCUAGGAAUAGCCGGUUCUUAACCACCUACUUGGACCAAGAAGACGAGAGCCUUGUAGACUGAUAGAUGUUCAUCGCUAACCAAGAUACCACAUUGACGCUUGGCACUGGUCUCCUAAGGAUCCGAAUGCUACACCGGACCAACACCUCUCGGUGCAUCUCUUGACAGGACCAACACCCUUGGUCUGAAAGCUUCGCUCCUAAGCCAACAAAACAUUUCUACCUCCUACAUUCGACCCAAUGGUGCGACCAACAUUUACUAAUGCAAGAGGAUAACCGAUCUACUCUCGAGUACAUUCAAAGUUUACCUACUGAUUCCAUAAGAUCAACAGUUAAGUACAUGAACCAGUAGUUUCUUCACCAAAGGUGCAUUCUCGAGCUAGCGACAUCGUCUUGUUGUUCAAUGCUGCGACCCUCAGCCAAACAAACGGACACCACGAUCCGUAAUGAAAAUCGG
This 634-nucleotide long non-coding RNA is filed under the name Brassica napus (rape). Its description in RNAcentral is "long non-coding RNA (BNAP_LNC026951)". Lineage: Eukaryota; Viridiplantae; Streptophyta; Magnoliopsida; Brassicales; Brassicaceae. The record is from RNAcentral.